Molecule: ribosomal RNA, 419 nt
Filed under: uncultured bacterium
Lineage: Bacteria
Description: bacterial SSU rRNA
Rfam family: Bacterial small subunit ribosomal RNA
Source: RNAcentral
UAAGGAAUAUUGCUCAAUGGGAGAAAUCCUGAAGCAGCAACGCCGCGUGGAGGAUGAAGGGUCUAUGACUUGUAAACUCCUGUAAAGAAGGAAAAAAUUCCCAUUUGAUGGGAGAUGAUGGUACUUCUGGAGUAAGCCCCGGCUAACUACGUGCCAGCAGCCGCGGUAAUACGUAGGGGGCAAGCGUUGUCCGGAUUUACUGGGUGUAAAGGGUGCUCAGGCGGAUUUGUAAGUCAGAGGUGAAAUCUUACAGCUUAACUGUGAAACUGCCGUUGAUACUGCAAGCCUAGAGUAUGGAAGAGAGUGAUGGAAUAUCUGGUGUAGCAGUGAAAUGCGUAGAUAUCAGAUAGAACACCAAUGGCGAAGGCAGUCACUUGGUCCAUUACUGACGCUAAAGCACGAAAGCGUGGGUAGCAAAC